GGGGAGGGGUCGGCGGUGGGUGGACAGGGAAGCGGCCGUGGGUGGGCAAGGGAGUGGCGGCGGGUGGAAGCGGUGUGGAGGGGAGGGGUGGGGUCUAGGAGAGGGGAAAGGAGAUAGAGAGAGAGGUAGUUGAACUGAGGGUCUAGGUUGAAGGGUGGCGGUGGAGGCCGCUGGAUUCCGCCCUAAGCUACCGCGGGUUGUAUGUAAACAAUGGUAGGGCAGAGCAGGAAGGGGAAAGGAGACAGAGAGAGAGGGAGUCCGUAGAAGGGAGAGAGAGUCCAUGUAGAUGUUGACGGAGCGGUACCUACCGGAGAAGUCCUCGAGGACGGCGACGACGUCAAACAAACGCAGUGGCGGGCCAGAAUAGGCGAACUGCUUUACCUUAGGACGCGGAGGUGGUCGGCGCAGGAGGAGGGAAAGGGAGGGGCGCGGUACGCCGGCCGCCGCCGGCGGACGAAGCCCGUGGCGGCCCGCCCCCGGCUGGUCUCUUCUCCCCACACCGACCGGGGCCGGGCGCGCAGCGAGCUGUCGCAGCGCCACGAGGAGCUGCGGCGGCAACCCCGCCCCCGCCCCCGCCCCAUGAGCGUCCGGUCGAUGUUGUGGAGGGACCCCGAGAAGUAAGAGAGACACAGCCCCGAGACCAGCGAGUAGUUCGCGAGGUAGUUCAGGUUCUAACACGUCUUCUGCAAGCAAUCCCUCCUUCCCGUCGGCUGCCGCGACUCGGACCACCGGCCCCUCUAGGAGAGCAAGAAGUACACGUUGUCGAAGCGGCAGAGGCUGACGCCGUUCCAGUAGUGCAACGGAGGACUGAUGAUAGCUACGGUUGCCGGCGGCGGAUGGAGAAGUAGCUACUGGUACGGUUGAUCGCGACGGACGGAGGGGUAGUUGCUGCAGCCGUUGCUGACGUGGGGUUCCACCACUCCUCCUACUCAUCGUCGUUUACUCGGACUACCACUACUUCGUGGAUUACUGAUCUUGAGAAGUUCUCGAGAAAACAGGAAGGUUUUGUUCCAGAACUACAGGGAGAAUGUCUUUUUACAAGUAUAUACAAGAACGUACUACGUACACACGUACAACCUACCAGUGUAAGAUCACAUGAUCGAUCGAUCAUUCGAACAAAACGAUGGCCUACUAACUUACAUGGAGUGACUGGCAAACAGAUAAAUAACACAUGAACGUACUCCUCCACUGAUCACUACACCACGCGGUUCGUCGUCAUCCCCUUCCCCCAGAUGAUUAGUUCCUCCGCCUACUCAUCCCCGCACGGGUUGGCCGUCGGGAUAGAACGAGUGCUCCCUCCCCGUCCUCCCCAGACGAGGAGACGAAGGUAACGCUGGCGCCGUCUAUAAAACUCAUUUAAGUUCUGCUUGCUACAAGUUUCUUCGAGGUUCUGUAAGAAUAUAUCGUUCAAUUCAUUAUUAUCGCCCCAAUAGACCCUUAAAUUACAUAGAAGAGAGAUAAACACUUACUUUAUCAUUAAUGCAUACACUAAAUUACAUAGCAGAGAGACACUUAAAGUACAUACAAAGUCUUAAUGUUAAAGACAAAGUAUACUUUAUCAUUAAUACAUACACUAAACUUUUACACACGUUACUUUUGUACUGAGUACGCUGGG
This 1615-nucleotide ribosomal RNA is filed under the name Triticum aestivum (bread wheat). Its description in RNAcentral is "partial small subunit ribosomal RNA". The record is from RNAcentral. Lineage: Eukaryota; Viridiplantae; Streptophyta; Magnoliopsida; Poales; Poaceae.